UAACGCCAUUCUGUGCAUUAAUUCUGAAUUGCGUAAGGUCUGGAGUAUCUUCCUGUAUAUCUCUGCCAAUAAGUAAGGAAAGAAAUUGCUUCAGCGUGGGGGCCACAGAUUUUCAGCAUCCUUUUUCUGGAUGCUUCACCACCCACAGCUCAAGGCUGGGAGUGAAGGAGGUGCCCUAGAUGCCCUCACCACUGGACGCGCAGAUGGGCGAGGACAAGUUGUAAUUCUGAGCAUUGCAUUAGAAAGGGCCUAAUAAGAGGGAGUGACAUGUGUCUGAAGAAUUACCUGACUGCUGCUAAUAUAGAAAGUUGACUAAAAAUGCAGAAAGCUAUGGCUGAAGCAAGGAUCCAUCACUGAUACAAUGAGAGAAUGAUGGUACCCGGGGAUGUGCUGUUUGUUAAAAGUUUUCAUCAGAGCUGAGUGUUGAAUUUUGUCAUAUACUUUUUCUGCAUCUAUUAAGUAGAUACCUGGAAGACUGUUAUUUACCUCUUUGGGUGUUAAUCCAGGCACAAGCCUUGCCACAGUUUCCCAGUUGAUGGUCUGGUGGAUUCCACAUA
This is a non-coding RNA of Kogia breviceps (pygmy sperm whale), 557 nucleotides long. NCBI's taxonomy places the organism in Eukaryota, Metazoa, Chordata, Mammalia, Artiodactyla, Physeteridae. The record is from RefSeq and is a predicted model, not a curated record.